UACAGAGGCCCCAAGCGUUGUUCGGAUUCACUGGGCGUAAAGGGUGCGUAGGUGGUCGGGUAAGUUUAAGGUGAAAGCUCCGGGCUCAACCCGGAAAUGGCCUUGAAUACUAUCCGGCUCGAGGGUUGGAGGGGGGACUGGAAUUCUCGGUGUAGCAGUGAAAUGCGUAGAUAUCGAGAGGAACACCAGUGGCGAAGGCGAGUCCCUGGACAACACCUGACACUGAGGCACGAAAGCUAGGGGAGCAAACGGG
RNAcentral lists this ribosomal RNA (253 nucleotides) under uncultured bacterium. RNAcentral describes it as "partial 16S ribosomal RNA". It matches the Rfam family "Bacterial small subunit ribosomal RNA", at positions 524 to 776 of the family's 1533-position model. The record is from RNAcentral.